This 397-nucleotide transfer-messenger RNA is filed under the name Alphaproteobacteria bacterium. It matches the Rfam family "Alphaproteobacteria transfer-messenger RNA". Rfam says of the family: Bacterial tmRNA, also known as 10Sa RNA or SsrA, is named for its dual tRNA and mRNA-like properties. Its role is to liberate the mRNA from a stalled ribosome. To accomplish this part of the tmRNA is used as a reading frame that ends in a translation stop signal. The record is from RNAcentral. Lineage: Bacteria; Pseudomonadati; Pseudomonadota; Alphaproteobacteria.
AUCCCUUGCUUUUUCCCCAAAAUCAUGUAUAAACAUAUUGUCGGUUGGUUUUGCCUGCCGACUAUGGCGAUAAACGGGCUUCGUAAUAAGCCUAUCGGACGCGGGGGCAGUACCCGCCGCCUCCACCAUUACUGAGGGCUAGUAGAAAAGGCUAGCAACAUUAUAGGGCAAGUGGCUACUAUCGGUUAUGGGGGCGAAACAGGAUCGACGAGGGUGUAAAGGUUGAUUCCGUCGCUCGGCAUGGUUCCGCCGUUAUCGGGCUAUUUUAUAGUUGCAAAUGACAACUAUGCGGAAGUUGCUGUCGCUGCUUAGACAGUGCCAGUCUUCACUUUAAGUCCUCACUUGUCGCAAAGUGGGGCGGGGUUUGGAAGGCACCUGGCAACAGAAGCCUUCCAUU